CGUGCCCUCUUUUUUUCUUAUUUUCUUGUCAAAUGUCUGAGGUACAAAACUGAGGAUUCGCUGCACAUAUAUAUGCAGACCCGGACCAGCCCCCGGCCGACCCGGACUCGUAGAUGAACUCUAAUCUGACCCGGACUCAGCUUGAUACUACAAACACUUAUCCGGGCUGUGACUAUAAAAAACCAAAGCUCCCCUCUUCCCUGGCGUCGUCUCCUCCUUCCGCCCACACAUCCUACCACCUAACCAUGAAAUUUUGCGGCGCCUGGCCGCCAACCCAUGGAAGCGCUCUUCUCCGGCCACCCCCACCGCCAGCCCCGACUGCCCCCCCGGUGGGAAAAGUCCUCGCCUUCCCCCUCUGAACUGGGUCUCCCCGGCGUUGUUUCGAAGAUCGUCGUCCGGUGAGGUUCUGGCGUCUCCGUCGAGUCCAGGCGUCGAGGAAAGGCGGCGUGCGCUUCAGAUCUGGGAGGGCGGCGGCAGCGCGCAAGCGAGGCUCUGGCCCCGAUGGCGGCGCCCGAGCAGGUCCGGCGCUCCCGCAAGGUCCCUCCUGCAGGGGCUAGCGCGCCCGACCCACUCCGGCGGCUAGGAAGGGCGGUGCGCACCGCGUGCCCGGCGGCGGAGCUCCAAGAUCGCACGCGCACGAGGCGUCCUACUGCAGCCCAAAGGCUGGUCCGUCAUCGAGAACAGUUCCGGUAGCCUUCCCUUCGUACCCACUACACGGAAGUGGUCGAGGCGUACCAAGCUUACUCGCCCAAAGCUUCCUCAUACCUUGUUUCUGGAGGAUGAGAAAAAAGCUCGUAUCGUUGAACUAGAUGGACCAAAUCCUUUUUCAGCAGCUGCCCCCCCCCCCCCCCCCCCCCCCCUCUCCAGAAGCUGUUGCAGAGGAGGAGAUCAACGAGGGGAUACCUGUAUCCACCGUUCUCGAUGCUGUUAAAGAUAAAAUGAAAGCUACAGCCCAGUCCGCAGAUGCCAACCCGGAAAAGCUAAGGAAGAUGUCUAAGUCCAUCGCUUUCCUGAAGGAUGUCCAAACAGCAUUACAUCUUGGUCGUGUUGAGUAAGCCAGAAACUCCUGAGGCUUGUCACCUUUCCUUCGGAGCUGAUUUCUUAAGGCUCUCAUCUGUGUAUACAUGUUGGCAUAAAGGGCAGCUGUCUGGCCUGGAAGACCGACGAGAUUCUCUCUCUUUUUUUUUUUUGUAAAUGUUACUCGUAAAACUUCUAAUAAGGAUAGAAAUAACUGGUGGCUCAGGACUUGAGGUCCCAGAGUGGGAGGUUGGGCGGCACCACAAACUCAAAAAAUAUACUGUAUUCCAUAUGUUCCAUUUCUUAACAUUUCUUAUUGCUGUCGUGGUUUCAUUGAGGUUAACAUUGUAGUACAACUAUUUUGCAACACGUGUUGAAAAAAGCUGCAAUUGUUUGUUAAGGUAUAUGUUUAUUUCAGCCACCCUGGUUUUGUCUAGAUGGUUUGUAGCUUUUGGAUAGACGUGGUGCACAAUCACAAUUUUUUGUUUUCCUGUCUCACCACUUUGCUCUAGCCUGUAGGUUAAUAUACAGGUUUUUCAAAAUCUCAGUUAGAGCUUGAUCUAAGAAAUUGUCCAGAUAAAUCCAUAAUAAAUUAUACUCCCUCCGCUCACUAUUAUAAGAUGUUAUAACACUUUUCUGAUUUGGAUGUAUAUAGACCUAUUUUAGUGUGGUUGUUCACUCAUUACAGUUCUUAUGUAGUCUAUUAAAAUAUGCAAAACAUCUUAUGUUUGUGAGAGUACUAUUUUAACAUUUGCAAGCUGCUUUAGUGUCAGAUAACCUCCGUUGUAUGUUGUAGGUACUAUCUUUUCAAUCAUGCUUUAGCCACUGAAUAGUGGUUCAAACGGGAUGCCAUGCCCACGUGACGAAUACGUGUAGCACUCAAAACUGUCCACAGCAUGAACCCAUCAGCAUAGACAGUCGUGAUGGAAAUCAGAGAGCCAACCCACGAGCUAAAGGUGGAUAAUCAUACGAGCAAAGGUGGAGGUUAACAGACCUUGUGCCUGAUAGGAAUGAGAGCGGGAUGAUGUUGAUAAAAUCACAUUUCCUAAUUCCUAACUAUUUCGAGUCUCGGGUGAACACUGAGAAGAAAGAUAAAGAAAAGAAAGUUUUCUAGUUAUCUGUUGAAUAUUCAUAAAAAGGAGUCGAGAUGACCGAUA
Long non-coding RNA from Aegilops tauschii subsp. strangulata, 2174 nucleotides. RefSeq lists it as uncharacterized. NCBI's taxonomy places the organism in Eukaryota, Viridiplantae, Streptophyta, Magnoliopsida, Poales, Poaceae. The record is from RefSeq and is a predicted model, not a curated record.